CCUACGGGUGGCUGCAGUGGGGAAUAUUGGACAAUGGGCGAAAGCCUGAUCCAGCCAUGCCGCGUGUGUGAAGAAGGCCUUCGGGUUGUAAAGCACUUUCAGUGGGGAAGAAAGCCUUGGGGCUAAUACCCUCGAGGAAGGACAUCACCCACAGAAGAAGCACCGGCUAACUCCGUGCCAGCAGCCGCGGUAAUACGGAGGGUGUGAGCGUUAAUCGGAAUUACUGGGCGUAAAGCGCGCGUAGGCGGUCUGAUAAGCCGGUUGUGAAAGCCCCGGGCUCAACCUGGGAACGGCAUCCGGAACUGUCAGGCUAGAGUGCAGGAGAGGAAGGUAGAAUUCCCGGUGGAGCGGUGAAAUGCGUAGAGAUCGGGAGGAAUACCAGUGGCGAAGGCGGCCUUCUGGACUGACACUGACGCUGAGGUGCGAAAGCGUGGGUAGCAAACAGGAUUAGAUACCCGGGUAGUC
RNAcentral lists this ribosomal RNA (465 nucleotides) under Vreelandella stevensii. Its description in RNAcentral is "partial 16S ribosomal RNA". It matches the Rfam family "Bacterial small subunit ribosomal RNA", at positions 338 to 795 of the family's 1533-position model. Lineage: Bacteria; Pseudomonadati; Pseudomonadota; Gammaproteobacteria; Oceanospirillales; Halomonadaceae. The record is from RNAcentral.